RNAcentral lists this ribosomal RNA (798 nucleotides) under uncultured bacterium. Its description in RNAcentral is "bacterial SSU rRNA". It matches the Rfam family "Bacterial small subunit ribosomal RNA", at positions 95 to 916 of the family's 1533-position model. The record is from RNAcentral.
GUGGCGGAUGGGUGAGUAACGCGUGGGCAACCUGCCCUGUACAGGGGGAUAACAAUGAGAAAUCAUUGCUAAUACCCCAUGAUACCUAUUGGUGGCAUCACCAAUAGGUCAAAGAACUUCGGUAUAGGAUGGGCCCGCGUCUGAUUAGCUAGUUGGUGAGGUAAAGGCUCACCAAAGCAACGAUCAGUAGCCGGCCUGAGAGGGUGACCGGCCACACUGGAACUGAGACACGGUCCAGACUCCUACGGGAGGCAGCAGUGGGGAAUAUUGCACAAUGGGGGAAACCCUGAUGCAGCAACGCCGCGUGAGCGAUGAAGGCUUUCGAGUCGUAAAGCUCUGUCCUAGGGGAAGAUAAUGACGGUACCUUAGGAGGAAGCCCCGGCUAAUUACGUGCCAGCAGCCGCGGUAACACGUAAGGGGCGAGCGUUAUCCGGAAUUAUUGGGCGUAAAGGGUGCGUAGGCGGCCUUAUGGGUCAGAGGUUAAAUACUACAGCUUAACUGUAGUCCGCCUUUGAAACUAUAAGGCUUGAGUGCAGGAGAGGAGAGUAGAAUUCCUAGUGUAGCGGUGAAAUGCGUAGAUAUUAGGAGGAAUACCAGUGGCGAAGGCGACUCUCUGGACUGCAACUGACGCUGAGGCACGAAAGCGUGGGUAGCGAACAGGAUUAGAUACCCUGGUAGUCCACGCCAUAAACGAUGAGUGCUAGGUGUUGGGGGUCGAACCUCAGUGCCGCAGUAAACGCAUUAAGCACUCCGCCUGGGGAGUACGGUCGCAAGACUGAAACUCAAAGGAAUUGACGG